CAGACAUCACCGCUGCUCCGAGAAACAGAGACUGUGUACCUCCCGCCUCGGAAGGCGAAGAUGAUCGCGGUGAUUCAUUCAUUCUCAGGACACGUGAUGCACACUCUCACGUUCACACGAGCCGUUGUUUCCCACCCGCUCGGGGUAGUAGGUGAGCCGAGGAAAUGGAAGUAAUAAUGGUUUCAGUAGAAAAGAAAAAAAAUCACUAACUCCCCAUAAUGCAAGCAUGCAGCGAGCACCAGUUACUGCUAGAUUUUUCUGGAAGCCUCCAAGUACAUGUGAUAACCUGCGUCAGACCACAGACUCUGGGGGCCCCCACGAGGGUCUAGCACUUGGAGA
This 339-nucleotide long non-coding RNA is filed under the name Cavia porcellus (domestic guinea pig). Its description in RNAcentral is "lncRNA (ENSCPOG00000032265.1)". Lineage: Eukaryota; Metazoa; Chordata; Mammalia; Rodentia; Caviidae. The record is from RNAcentral.